CCUACGGGAGGCUGCAGUGAGGAAUAUUGGUCAAUGGACGAGAGUCUGAACCAGCCAAGUAGCGUGAAGGAUGACUGCCCUAUGGGUUGUAAACUUCUUUUAUAUGGGAAUAAAACGUUCCACGUGUGGGAUUUUGUAUGUACCAUAUGAAUAAGGAUCGGCUAACUCCGUGCCAGCAGCCGCGGUAAUACGGAGGAUCCGAGCGUUAUCCGGAUUUAUUGGGUUUAAAGGGAGCGUAGGUGGAUUGUUAAGUCAGUUGUGAAAGUUUGCGGCUCAACCGUAAAAUUGCAGUUGAAACUGGCAGUCUUGAGUACAGUAGAGGUGGGCGGAAUUCGUGGUGUAGCGGUGAAAUGCUUAGAUAUCACGACGAACUCCGAUUGCGAAGGCAGUUCACUGGACUGCAACUGACACUGAGGCUCGAAAGUGUGGGUAUCAAACAGGAUUAGAUACCCCUGUAGUC
RNAcentral lists this ribosomal RNA (460 nucleotides) under uncultured bacterium. RNAcentral's name for it is "partial 16S ribosomal RNA". It matches the Rfam family "Bacterial small subunit ribosomal RNA", at positions 338 to 795 of the family's 1533-position model. The record is from RNAcentral.